RNA transcript from Rosa rugosa (rugosa rose), 1964 nucleotides. RefSeq lists it as uncharacterized. The transcript has 7 exons. The record is from RefSeq and is a predicted model, not a curated record. Lineage: Eukaryota; Viridiplantae; Streptophyta; Magnoliopsida; Rosales; Rosaceae.
AAUUUCAAGAAACGCGGGGCAUGAAAAUUUGUUUCCCACACUUCGACAUAUUUGGACAACUAAAACUUCUGAGGCCCCAACCGUUCGACUAGCACCCAACCUCCCUUUCCUUUCCUUCUCCGCCUCCGACCAGAACCCUCAUCCUCUUCGUUCUCCGCCUCCGACCAGAACUCGAUCCUCCUCUCCUCCUUCUCUGCCUCGGACCAGCUCCUCUGCUCGAAGACGGUGAACGGAAUCAAAGUUCGAGGGAUUUGUGAGCUUUUGUGUCAUAGGUUUGCGAGAAACAAGCAUUCUUCAUUGAGCUUUCUGGGCAAGUUCGGGCUUGCUGGGUUUGUGACCAUGUAAUUGCAAUUCAUCUUCUGAUCUUUUUGGGCAUUCUCCAUCUCUGAGGAGACUUCAUGCUUGUUCUCGCGCUGGUCAAGACAUUCGAUUAUGUGUUCUCUGCCUAUGAAGGUUUCUGUAGCUUGAAGCAGGUUGAUCUUGGUUUUCAAGGUUUCUGAUCUUGGUUUAUAUGCUUACAACAAGCUUCCUUCUGAGUUAAUGGCGUUAAUGGUGAGUCACUGUGACUAAAUUCUUUGUUUUCUGUUUGGGUCCUGUGAAUUUUCGGUCUUCAAUUUUAGGGUUUUUGGUAAUUGAUCGAAAAUUGAAUUAUAAAUGGGUGGAGAUUCGGGGAUAUCUGCUUAAAUGAGAUUUAGAAUGCAGAUUUGUGAUAUGGUUGCAGAACAUCUGUGGAGAAGAAUUCAAAGAAUUCAUAUGCAGAAGGUGAGGAAAGAUCUCUUGGUGUAUACUUUCAUUUAGUUAUCUUACCUUCUAUCGGUUGGUUGCAGAACUUGGAAGGUAUGGUAGUCAAAUUGGUUAGAGGAAUACAUUUGCACUUUCAUAUAAUUAAAUGACUCUAACUUGUCAAAUUGUCUCCGUAAUUGUUUGCUAUUGUUGAUUGCGGUCUCUUGUCAUACUGGUAUCAAUGUCAUACACAGGCACACAGCAACCUCAGAUUACAGAACUAGAUAUAUCAGUUUGACACUUCAGCUUAGCGUGUUAUUUAUUUUACUAUAUAUCAGCUAGCUGUGUAUUCGAUCUUAUUUGGGAUUGACUAUUAUUGGGUAGGCAUGUGAGGUCAUGAAAUUUGAGUACCAAAAGAAGGUCGCCUCGCUGAGCAAGCUGAAGAAAUGUAGUACUAACUCAGAAGCAUUGGAGAAAUCAAGAGCAGCAGUGAGUCAUCUACAUAUAAGAUACAUAGUUGACAUGCAAUCCAUGGAUCCAACAGUAUCAAAGAUAAACUCUUUUCGUUCAGCUUGUUGCAGGAUAGAAAACUCUAGGAUAUCAUACUGAAUGCAGCCGAUGCAACAGGCUUCAUGGACAGUUUUGUGGAGACUGUUUGUACAGGACGUAAACUCUACUCUUGAAACUUCAUUCCUGCUCUUACAUUUGUCAAAUUCUUUAUGAUGUCGUUAUUGCUUCAAUUGUCGGACAGCAAAAGAAGUUACUAUAUCUUGAUUUGGUGAUAUCUACUUGCAACCAAUAAUGUGAUUGUGCAUAUGGCAAUGACAGCAUUAGAUUUUCUGUUUGCUUUGACUCAUGGAGAUGUCCUUAAUUUGAAGUUUUCUUUACUGCUCAUGGUUAAUGCUCAUAUCAAUAACAGGUAAAUGAAUGUGAGAUACCCUUGUUGCAUGACUUCAAUGGUAGUGCAAAAGAGAAUGGGGCGUCCAUUGAGAAGGAAAGACGCCUAUUAUAUGUUGCAAUGACUCGUGCUCGAACAGAACUUUUCAUCCAUUCCAAUUGGUGAAAACAGAAGAACAAAUGGGAUAUAAGUAUGGCGAGGCUUGCUUUCGUUUAUGUUUCUAGUAUUAUGUACCGUUUAGACUUAAAUUUUUGUUUCAUUUCGACAUGUUAUGCAUAGAAAUACUUGGGAUGUUGUUAUGUACUUUGAGCAUCAAUAUUAAUCAAAAUUUAUUUACUUACGA